RNAcentral lists this ribosomal RNA (658 nucleotides) under Stomatolina rubra. RNAcentral's name for it is "partial 12S ribosomal RNA". Lineage: Eukaryota; Metazoa; Mollusca; Gastropoda; Trochida; Trochidae. The record is from RNAcentral.
GACAAACAGAUCGAGCUAAGUUAUAGUUGGUAUAAAAGGAAGUUAGAGGUAAUUAAAAUAUAAAUAGAAAAGUAAAUUUUGUUUUAGAGGUGGAAUUCGUAAAGAAAAGGGUUGUUUAAAAAUUUUCUUGUACUUGAUACUUCGAAAGUUAUCACAGAGACCGGGAUUAGAUACCCCGUUAUUUUCAUUGUAAAUUUUGGUUUCCUACCUGAGUAUUACGAGUUGAGUCUUGAAUAAUAGCGGUAAGCUAUUGAUAAGAUUUCUUUUGCUUAAAACUCAAAAAACUUGGCGGUGUUUUAUUUCUUUCCAGGGGAACCUGUCCUGUAAUCGAUAGUCCACGAUUUAACUUACUUUUCUUCGAAGUUUAUUUAUUAGUAAUUUAUCAGUUUGUAUACCGUCGUCGUCAGAUAACCUUUAAGAGAAAAGCAGUUGUCAGUGGAGUAAUGUUUAAGUUUCUGCGAAAUAAAAUUUGCUGAGGAAACUAUUCUUGCUCUGAUGUCAGAUCAAGGUGCAGCUUAUGGAAAAUGGAGAGAUGGGUUACAUUAUAUAGUCAAUUUGGAUUUUGAGGUGUAACACUUAAAUAAAAUUGGACUUGGAAGUAAUGUUUGUAUUAUAUAUGGAAUUAGUUAGUGAAUGUGAAUGUUGUACUAGAACGCGC